GACCGCUCCAGUGGCCUAGUGGUUAGAGCGUCCGCCUCGGAUGGGGGAGGUCAUGAGUUCGAUCCCCAGCUGAGUCA
Non-coding RNA from Potamilus streckersoni, 77 nucleotides. NCBI's taxonomy places the organism in Eukaryota, Metazoa, Mollusca, Bivalvia, Unionida, Unionidae. The record is from the annotation of a GenBank genome assembly.